This 428-nucleotide ribosomal RNA is filed under the name uncultured bacterium. RNAcentral's name for it is "partial 16S ribosomal RNA". It matches the Rfam family "Bacterial small subunit ribosomal RNA", at positions 354 to 796 of the family's 1533-position model. The record is from RNAcentral.
GUAGGGAAUAUUGCGCAAUGGACGAAAGUCUGACGCAGCGACGCCGCGUGAGUGAUGAAGGCCUUAGGGUCGUAAAGCUCUGUUGAAUGGGAAGAAAAAAAUGACGGUACCAUUCGAGGAAGGACCGGCUAACUUCGUGCCAGCAGCCGCGGUAAUACGAGGGGUCUUAGCGUUGUUCGGAAUCAUUGGGCGUAAAGGGUGUGUAGGUGGCCAUGUAAGUCAGGUGUGAAAGCCCCGGGCUCAACCCGUGAAGUGCACUUGAUACUGCGUGGCUUGAGUACCGAAGAAGGUAGUGGAAUUCCAGGUGUAGUGGUGAAAUACGUAGAUAUCUGGAGGAACACCGGUGGCGAAGGCGGCUACCUGGUCGAGUACUGACACUGAGACACGAAAGCAUGGGGAUCAAACAGGAUUAGAUACCCCUGUAGUCC